This is a long non-coding RNA of Rosa chinensis, 431 nucleotides long. RefSeq lists it as uncharacterized. The transcript is spliced from 2 exons. Lineage: Eukaryota; Viridiplantae; Streptophyta; Magnoliopsida; Rosales; Rosaceae. The record is from RefSeq and is a predicted model, not a curated record.
GCUUUGCUAACUUGCUCUGGAACACUGGAAGUCUGAAACGUGCUCUCUUGCUUACAAUUUAUUGUGGGUUUCUUCUCUUUCUUCCAAUUCGAUGUGAGGAACUGACUCAACUGAGGGCUGAGCCACUGGGGAACAAUGGUUUCGAAUUUAUUGAUUAUAGCAUAGUGAACGAUGACCAAGCAUCACCCUGAUUUGAUCAUGUGCAGGAAGCAACUAGGGAUUGUCAUUGGGCCGCUCUGCCAGAAGUGUGAUGGGUCGUUGUGUUAUAUGUGGAGGAGUUGGGAUUUUUGAUGCUUACUAUUGCUCAUUCGUAGUUUUUGUGGAAAGAACUAUUAUGUAUGAACAAUUAUGUAUGUUAGAUAAAUCAGAACAAUUGUGGAAAGAACAAAUAUGUAUUAUGUAUGUUAGCAAUUCAAAUCCACGAUCUUCAC